This 589-nucleotide unclassified non-coding RNA is filed under the name Hevea brasiliensis (rubber tree). The record is from RNAcentral. Lineage: Eukaryota; Viridiplantae; Streptophyta; Magnoliopsida; Malpighiales; Euphorbiaceae.
GCUGCAAAUUCCUUAUGCGACAAAAUCAGACUCCAUGUCUGAUAGGUAUAUAUCCAAGAUAUGCACAACGAUAACAAAGAAACAGGUAUAUAUAAUAUAUUUGAAAGAUUUGAUCGAUGUAUAAGCUUGCCUCUGGAUCGAUCUUACUUUUUCUCCUCUCUACUCCUGCUAAAUUUCCUUCUAUAAUCAAGUACUGUUGCUUUUGUCAAUAGCAGCAGAAGCCUUGUUGGCAUGCUUGUUGGUGUAAAGAACAAGGCUUAAACUUGUGGGAUGUUUAACAUCAUCGGAGAUAUCUCGCUUCUGAAUCUGCAGAGGAAGGGCAGAUUUCUGAGCAGUAUCUACACGAACGGAUUGUGGACGAGGGUAGAAGUAAUCAGUAGGGAAAAAGUAGUAUUGUUGAAGGCCAGCCAUGGAAGCUCUCUGAAGGUGAAGUGUUGGGCGUACAAGAUUAAGAAUAAAGAAAAAUUAGUUUCAAGAACAAGAACUAAACCAAGAAAGCUGUAUAUGGAGGUUUCUUAUGCAGCUUUCUUGGUUGGAGGGAUAGUGGUUUGCUACUCUACGUUUAUAUAGAGAAGGGAAGAGACGGCUU